GGUGACAAGCUGAAAUACAGGGGU
Molecule: non-coding RNA, 24 nt
Filed under: Rattus norvegicus (Norway rat)
Lineage: Eukaryota; Metazoa; Chordata; Mammalia; Rodentia; Muridae
Source: RNAcentral